CAGCACCUCAAGUGGUCAGGAUGAUUAUUGGGCCUAAAGCAUCCGUAGCCUGCUUUGUUAGUUUUCGGUUAAAUCCAUACGCUCAACGUACGGGCUGCCGGGAAUACUGCAAAGCUAGGGAGUGGGAGAGGUAGACGGUACUCGGUAGGAAGGGGUAAAAUCCUUUGAUCUAUUGAUGACCACCUGUGGCGAAGGCGGUCUACCAGAACACGUCCGACGGUGAGGGAUGAAAGCUGGGGGAGCAAACCGGAUUAGAUACCCGAGUAGUCC
This 270-nucleotide ribosomal RNA is filed under the name uncultured archaeon. RNAcentral describes it as "partial 16S ribosomal RNA". It matches the Rfam family "Archaeal small subunit ribosomal RNA", at positions 477 to 747 of the family's 1478-position model. The record is from RNAcentral.